This 935-nucleotide ribosomal RNA is filed under the name uncultured archaeon BA2F4fin. Its description in RNAcentral is "bacterial SSU rRNA". It matches the Rfam family "Archaeal small subunit ribosomal RNA", at positions 1 to 924 of the family's 1478-position model. The record is from RNAcentral. Lineage: Archaea; Methanobacteriati; Methanobacteriota.
UCCGGUUGAUCCUGCCAGAGGCUACUGCCAUCAGAGUUCGAUUAAGCCAUGUUAGUUGAGGGUAUCUCUUCUUCUUCGGAGGGAGAGGGAACCCNGGCAGACGGCUCAGUAACACGUGGAUAACUUGCCCUUGGGUCUSGGAUAACCCCUGGGAAACUKGGGCUAAUACCSGAUAGGGCAUUGGCCGCUGGAAUGCGCAAUGCUCGAAAACUUAGGUGCCCAAGGAUAGGUCUGCGGCUGAUUAGGUCGUUGUUGAUGUAAUGGACCAACAAGCCUACGAUCGGUACGGGUUGUGAGAGCAAUAGCCCGGAGAUGGGUUCUGAGAAAAGAACCCAGGUCCUACGGGACGCAUCAGGCGCGAAAACUUUACAAUGUGCGAAAGCASRAUAAGGGAACUCUGAGUGCCUCCAAAGGAGCUGUUCAGGUGUCUAAAAAGCAACUGAAGUAAGGGCUGGGCAAGACCGGUGCCAGCCGCCGCGGUAACACCGGCAGCCCAAGUGGUAGCCACGUUUAUUGGRUCUAAAGCGUUCGUAGCCGGCCAGGUAAGUUCCUUGGUAAAUUUAGCCGCUCAACGGUUAAGCUUUCAGGGAAUACUGCUUGGCUUGGGACUGGGAGAGGUYAGAGGUACUCCAAGGGUAGGGGUGAAAUCCAUUAAUCCUUGGGGGACCACCGGUAGCGAAGGCGUYUGACCAGACCAGCUCCGACGGUGAGGGACGAAGGCUAGGGGCGCGAACCGGAUUAGAUACCCGGGUAGUCCUAGCUGUAAACGAUGCGGGCUAGCGUGUUGGCAUUACUGCGAGUGGUGCCAGUGCCGAAGGGAAGCCGUUAAGCCCGCCAUCUGGGGAGUACGGNUCGCAAGGCUUAAACUUAAAGGAAUUGGCGGGGGAGCACCACAACGGGUGGAGCUGCGGUUCAAUUGGAGUCAACGCCGGAAA